Molecule: ribosomal RNA, 445 nt
Filed under: uncultured bacterium
Lineage: Bacteria
Description: bacterial SSU rRNA
Rfam family: Bacterial small subunit ribosomal RNA
Source: RNAcentral
ACCAGACUCCUACGGGAGGCAGCAGUGGGGAAUAUUGCACAACGGGGGGAACCCUGAUGCAGCAACGCCGCGUGGGUGAAGAAGUACUCCGGUAUGUAAAGCCCUGUCAGCAGGGAAGAAAAUGACGGUACCUGACCAAGAAGCCCCGGCUAACUACGUGCCAGCAGCCGCGGUAAUACGUAGGGGGCAAGCGUUAUCCGGAUUUACUGGGUGUAAAGGGAGCGUAGACGGUUAUGUAAGUCUGGAGUGAAAGCCCGGGGCCCAACCCCGGGACUGCUUUGGAAACUGUGUAACUAGAGUACAGGAGGGGCAGGCGGAAUUCCUGGUGUAGCGGUGAAAUGCGUAGAUAUCAGGAGGAACACCGGCGGCGAAGGCGGCCUGCUGGACUGAAACUGACGUUGAGGCUCGAAAGCGUGGGGAGCAAACAGGAUUAGAUACCCUAGUA